This 483-nucleotide ribosomal RNA is filed under the name uncultured bacterium. Its description in RNAcentral is "partial 16S ribosomal RNA". It matches the Rfam family "Bacterial small subunit ribosomal RNA", at positions 28 to 523 of the family's 1533-position model. The record is from RNAcentral.
GACGAACGCUGGCGGCGUGCUUAACACAUGCAAGUCGAACGAUGAAAGUGGAGCUUGCUCCGCUGGAUUAGUGGCGAACGGGUGAGUAACACGUGGGCAACCUGCCCCAGACUCUGGGAUAACUCCUCGAAAGAGGUGCUAAUACCGGAUACGAACUCCUUGGGCAUCCUUGGAGUUGGAAAGUUUGUCGGUCUGGGAUGGGCCCGCGGCCUAUCAGCUUGUUGGUGGGGUAGUGGCCCACCAAGGCGACGACGGGUAGCCGGCCGGAGAGGGCGACCGGCCACUCUGGGACUGAGACACGGCCCAGACGCCGACGGGGGGCAGCAGUGGGGAAUAUUGCGCAAGGGGCGAAAGCCUGACGCAGCGACGCCGCGUGAGGGAUGACGGCCUUCGGGUUGUAAACCUCUUUCAGCAGGGAAGAAGCGAAAGUGACGGUACCUGCAGAAGAAGCACCGGCUAACUACGUGCCAGCAGCCGCGGUAA